RNAcentral lists this long non-coding RNA (247 nucleotides) under Vigna radiata. RNAcentral describes it as "long non-coding RNA (VRAD_LNC002672)". The record is from RNAcentral. Lineage: Eukaryota; Viridiplantae; Streptophyta; Magnoliopsida; Fabales; Fabaceae.
GGAAUGAGUGAGAUUGGUUGUUUAAAGAGAGUUUGUGCUUGAAUGAUAAAAUUUUCGAAUAACUCUCUUAACUAAAGGAUUUUGUGAUCUAGAAAAACUAAUUUUUCUUGUUAGCGCAGCCUCAUUAUAAGCCAUGAAAAGUCCUUGUGAUGACAUGUGUUUGUGAGUAUGUUUGAUUGUGGUAAAUGAAAGGUAAUUUUGUUCUACGUGACAUGUGGAUAGUAGAGGGAAGGAGUGGCCUCUUGAA